RNAcentral lists this ribosomal RNA (741 nucleotides) under Stenotrophomonas sp. 110518_136_C_F10. RNAcentral describes it as "bacterial SSU rRNA". It matches the Rfam family "Bacterial small subunit ribosomal RNA", at positions 19 to 747 of the family's 1533-position model. The record is from RNAcentral. Lineage: Bacteria; Pseudomonadati; Pseudomonadota; Gammaproteobacteria; Lysobacterales; Lysobacteraceae.
AUGGCUCAGAGUGAACGCUGGCGGUAGGCCUAACACAUGCAAGUCGAACGGCAGCACAGUAAGAGCUUGCUCUUAUGGGUGGCGAGUGGCGGACGGGUGAGGAAUACAUCGGAAUCUACCUUUUCGUGGGGGAUAACGUAGGGAAACUUACGCUAAUACCGCAUACGACCUUCGGGUGAAAGCAGGGGACCUUCGGGCCUUGCGCGGAUAGAUGAGCCGAUGUCGGAUUAGCUAGUUGGCGGGGUAAAGGCCCACCAAGGCGACGAUCCGUAGCUGGUCUGAGAGGAUGAUCAGCCACACUGGAACUGAGACACGGUCCAGACUCCUACGGGAGGCAGCAGUGGGGAAUAUUGGACAAUGGGCGCAAGCCUGAUCCAGCCAUACCGCGUGGGUGAAGAAGGCCUUCGGGUUGUAAAGCCCUUUUGUUGGGAAAGAAAAGCAGUCGGCUAAUACCCGGUUGUUCUGACGGUACCCAAAGAAUAAGCACCGGCUAACUUCGUGCCAGCAGCCGCGGUAAUACGAAGGGUGCAAGCGUUACUCGGAAUUACUGGGCGUAAAGCGUGCGUAGGUGGUUGUUUAAGUCUGUUGUGAAAGCCCUGGGCUCAACCUGGGAAUUGCAGUGGAUACUGGGCGACUAGAGUGUGGUAGAGGGUAGUGGAAUUCCCGGUGUAGCAGUGAAAUGCGUAGAGAUCGGGAGGAACAUCCAUGGCGAAGGCAGCUACCUGGACCAACACUGACACU